This 2010-nucleotide ribosomal RNA is filed under the name microbial mat metagenome. RNAcentral's name for it is "bacterial LSU rRNA". It matches the Rfam family "Bacterial large subunit ribosomal RNA", at positions 1 to 1998 of the family's 2925-position model. The record is from RNAcentral.
GAAAGCGUUUAAGGGCAUCUGGUGGAUGCCUUGGCGCCAGGAGGCGAUGAAGGACGUGGUAGGCAACGAAAUUCUCUGGGGAGCCGCCAAGCAGGCUUUGAUCCGGAGGUGUCCGAAUGGGGAAACCCGGCGGGAGUCAUAUCCCGUCAUCCUUUGACUGAAUUCAUAGGUCUUAGGAAGCGAACUCAGGGAAGUGAAACAUCUCAGUACCUGAAGGAGAGGAAAUCAACCGAGAUUCCCGAAGUAGCGGCGAGCGAAACGGGAACAGCCCAAACCGAGUGGUUUCGACCAUUCGGGGUUGUAGGGCCGUCAUAAUUGAUCCGCAAUUAGAGAGCAGAACAGGUUGGGAAACCUGGCCAUAGAGGGUGAAAGUCCCGUAUGUGGUAUCGAAAGCGGCAUGGACGGUUCCUGAGUACCGCGAGGCACGUGAAACCUCGUGGGAAUCCGGGAGGACCAUCUUCCAAGGCUAAAUACUCCCUGGCGACCGAUAGUGUACCAGUACCGUGAGGGAAAGGUGAAAAGAACCCCUGUUAGGGGAGUGAAAUAGAACCUGAAACCGGAUGCCUACAAGCAGUGGGAGCGGACUUGUUCCGUGACCGCAUGCCUUUUGCAUAAUGAGUCAGCGAGUUACUCUGUAGUGCGAGGUUAAGUGUAAAAAACACGGAGCCGAAGCGAAAGCGAGUCUGAAUAGGGCGCAUAGUACUGCGGAGUAGACCCGAAACCAAGUGAUCUAUCCAUGAGCAGGUUGAAGCUCAGGUAAAACUGAGUGGAGGACCGAACCGCCGUAAGUUGAAAAUUACCCGGAUGACUUGUGGAUAGGGGUGAAAGGCCAAUCAAACUUGGUGAUAGCUGGUUCUCCCCGAAAUAUAUUGAGGUAUAGCCUCAGGACGAGAUUGACGGAGGUAGAGCACUGACAGGGCUAGGGGGCUUACCCGCUUACCAACCCCUAUCAAACUCCGAAUGCCGUCAAUUGCUUCCUGGGAGUCAGACUGCGGGUGCGAAGGUCCGUAGUCGAAAGGGAAACAGCCCAGAUCGUCAGCUAAGGUCUCUAAAUCUAUGCUCAGUGGAAAAGGUAGUGACGUUGCUUAGACAUCCAGGAGGUUGGCUUAGAAGCAGCCAUCCUUUAAAGAAAGCGUAAUAGCUCACUGGCCUAGCGAUGUUGCGCCGAAAAUGUAUCGGGGCUAAGCAUAGUACCGAAGCUACGGGAGUACGCUAGUCGUACUCGGUAGGGGAGCGUUCUCAGACGCGACGAAGGUGAACUGUAAAGUUUGCUGGAGUAAUGAGAAGUGAUUAUGCUGACAUGAGUAACGAUAAAACGAGUGAAAAACUCGUUCGCCGUAAGCCCAAGGUUUCCUGGGUAAAGUUAAUCUUCCCAGGGUGAGUCGGUCCCUAAGGCGAGGCAGAAAUGCGUAGUCGAUGGAAAACAGGUUAAUAUUCCUGUACCCGUGUGUGAGCGCGAUGGAGGGACGCAGGAGGGUAGGUUGGCCAGGUGUUGGAUAUCCUGGUGUAAGCCCGUAGGGUUGGACUGUAGGCAAAUCCGCAGUCCUCUAUGCCCGAGAAGUGAUGCCGUGGCCGCAAGGCCUGAAGCAACUCAUCCCAGACUGCCAAGAAAAGCUUCUAAGUUUAUCACAUACGGACCGUACCGCAAACCGACACAGGUGGGCGGGUCGAGUAGACCAAGGCGCUUGAGAGAACUCUGGUUAAGGAACUCGGCAAAAUGACCCCGUAAGUUAGCGAUAAGGGGUGCUCUUUUAGGUGAUGGUUUAACUUCCAAAGCCCAAGAGAGCCGCAGAGAAUCGGGGGUGGCGACUGUUUACUAAAAACAUAGGUCUGUGCGAAGUCGUAAGACGACGUAUACGGACUGACGCCUGCCCGGUGCUGGAAGGUUAAGGGGUGGGGUUAGCAGCAAUGCGAAGCUCUGAACCGAAGCCCCAGUAAACGGCGGCCGUAACUAUAACGGUCCUAAGGUAGCGAAAUUCCUUGUCGGGUAAGUUCCGACCUGCACGAAUG